RNAcentral lists this ribosomal RNA (760 nucleotides) under Caloplaca variabilis. RNAcentral's name for it is "LSU rRNA". It matches the Rfam family "Eukaryotic large subunit ribosomal RNA", at positions 165 to 943 of the family's 3401-position model. The record is from RNAcentral. Lineage: Eukaryota; Fungi; Ascomycota; Lecanoromycetes; Teloschistales; Teloschistaceae.
CGGGCGCGGCGCCGGUCUAAGUCCCUUGGAACGGGGCGUCAUAGAGGGUGAGAAUCCCGUAUGUGACCGGUGACCAACCCCAUGUGAAACUCCUUCGACGAGUCGAGUUGUUUGGGAAUGCAGCUCAAAAUGGGUGGUAUAUUUCAUCUAAAGCUAAAUACCGGCCAGAGACCGAUAGCGCACAAGUAGAGUGAUCGAAAGAUGAAAAGCACUUUGGAAAGAGAGUCAAAAAGUACGUGAAAUUGUUGAAAGGGAAGCGCUCGCAACCAGACCUGCCCGCGGCCGAUCAACCGUCCUUCUGGGCGGUGCACUCGGUCGCGAUCAGGCCAGCAUCGGUUCGGGCGGCCGGAUAAAGGCCCCGGGAACGUAGCUCCUUUCGGGGAGUGUUAUAGCCCGGGGUGCAAUGCGGCCAGCCUGGACCGAGGACCGCGCUUCGGCUAGGAUGCUGGCGUAAUGGUUGUGAGCGGCCCGUCUUGAAACACGGACCAAGGAGUCUAACAUCUAUGCGAGUGUUUGGGUGUCAAACCCAUGCGCGUAAUGAAAGUGAACGGAGGUGGGAACCCUCGCGGGCGCACCAUCGACCGAUCCAGAUGUCUUCGGAUGGAUUUGAGUACGAGCAUAGCUGUUGGGACCCGAAAGAUGGUGAACUAUGCCAGAAUAGGGUGAAGCCAGAGGAAACUCUGGUGGAGGCUCGCAGCGGUUCUGACGUGCAAAUCGAUCGUCAAAUUUUGGCAUAGGGGCGAAAGACUAAUCGAACCAU